Molecule: long non-coding RNA, 519 nt
Organism: Syngnathus acus (greater pipefish)
Lineage: Eukaryota; Metazoa; Chordata; Actinopteri; Syngnathiformes; Syngnathidae
Exons: 3
Source: RefSeq, a predicted model, not a curated record
UGUCAUCAUCAUCAGCCUCGAUCGCCACACAUCUGAAAAAUGCACGGGAGGAGGCACAAUUGUUGUUUACAAAUGGCUGUCAGGAGACGUACUGAGGACCGGUUGUGGGGGUGCAAUAACUCACAUUGUUACAGUGUCCCAGAUAAUUGACAAGAAAACAACAAAUCUCAAGAAACAAUAAAUGUCCACGUAGACAAUUUUUUGUGUAUGUUUGUCCGAGGGAAAACACUAAAAUUUUGUCUGCAUUUGUUGGUGAUGUUUACCUGUAAGAUUUGUGUGUCGCUACUUCGAUUCCCGCCGAGCAAAAAGGUGCUAACAGGAGAAUCGUUGAUUGAUGUUCAAUCAAUAAUUCUGCUUAUAGGAACAAAAGGCCGCAAUUUACUGGGGCGGGUGGGGGGUGGGGGGGGAGAGUAAAGAAAUGUGAAAUCAUGUGCAAAAAUCAAUAAACUCAAUUCUACGAUAUUCAGAGUUUUGUUAUCACCUUUGCACCAACUCAAUAAAAUUGGAAUCUAAACCCUC